AGCUUUCCUCCUUCAUCGGAGUAUACACGGCGGUGUCGUCCGGCAGGCUGGGGGAUGGGAGCAGCUGCAGGCAUGGUUGGCUUCAGGCGUGUUUUCCCUGCAAGCCAUGGGCCUCUGGGAAGUGGCCAUUUUACAGAGACAAGGACGUGCUGAGGGGAUCGCCUCACCCAUCUCCCACCGGCUGUGUCCCCAAAGUCCUGCCUUCCCGUAGCUUGGCAUGGAGCACCUCUGCGCGACCAUGGACCUGCUCACACAGCCCUUCUGCGCGCCGUGGGAGCUGCCUCUCUGUGACUCGCCCCCGGACCCACCGCCCCAGCGCCUGACCCACCUCCCUGCCGCCUUUCACAGAAAACUUCUCAUAGACUCCCGUUUUCUCAUCCCGCCCCGACUUAGCCCCCGACUCCCCCCGGAAACUGCCCUUACCCGUCCCCACCUUGCCAGACACGGUGGGCCACUGGAGUUCCUCUGUCUUCUGGGACUUGGCUCUCCCCAGGGGAUCCUCUGCCACUCCUCCACCCAACUCCUCAAUCUUGGAGCGCCAGAGCUCAGCCGAGCUCACCGGCUCCCUAGGGAGCUGGGGCAACUGUUAGCUCCCCCUGACCUGUGUGAUCCCACGUCCAGUGGCUGCCCCGACCUCCGUGCUCCCACGUCCAGGGGCUCCCCCGACCUCCGUGCUCCCACGUCCAGGGGCUCCCCCGACCUCUGUGAUCCCACGUCCGGGGGCUCCCCCGACCUCUGUGCUCCCACGUCCGGGGGCUCCCCCGACCUCCGUGCUCCCACCCCCGACCUCCGUGCUCCCACGUCCGGGGGCUCCCCCGACCUCCGUGCUCCCACGUCCGGGGGCUCCCCCGACCUCCGUGCUCCCACGUCCAGUGGCUCCCCCUGACCUCUGUGCUCUAUGUCCAGUGGCUCCCCCUGACCUCUGUGAUCCUAUGUGCAGCGGCUGCUGGCCUCUCAAACUUAAUGUGUUCAUUGCGGAACUUG
RNAcentral lists this non-coding RNA (984 nucleotides) under Pan troglodytes (chimpanzee). The record is from RNAcentral. Lineage: Eukaryota; Metazoa; Chordata; Mammalia; Primates; Hominidae.